UACGAAGGGGGCUAGCGUUGUUCGGAAUUACUGGGCGUAAAGCGCGCGCAGGCGGCUAUCCAAGUCAGUGGUGAAAGCCCGGAGCUCAACUCCGGAAUUGCCAUUGAAACUGUUUAGCUCGAGUACGAGAGAGGUGAGUGGAAUUCCCAGUGUAGAGGUGAAAUUCGUAGAUAUUGGGAAGAACACCGGUGGCGAAGGCGGCUCACUGGCUCGUAACUGACGCUCAAGCGCGACAGCGUGGGGAUCAAACAGG
RNAcentral lists this ribosomal RNA (253 nucleotides) under uncultured bacterium. RNAcentral describes it as "partial 16S ribosomal RNA". It matches the Rfam family "Bacterial small subunit ribosomal RNA", at positions 524 to 776 of the family's 1533-position model. The record is from RNAcentral.